GAUGAACGCUGGCGGCGUGCCUAAUACAUGCAAGUCGAGCGAACAGACGAGGAGCUUGCUCCUCUGAUGUUAGCGGCGGACGGGUGAGUAACACGUGGAUAACCUACCUAUAAGACUGGGAUAACUUCGGGAAACCGGAGCUAAUACCGGAUAACAUGUUGAACCGCAUGGUUCAACAGUGAAAGACGGUCUUGCUGUCAUUUAUAGAUGGAUCCGCGCCGCAUUAGCUAGUUGGUAAGGUAACGGCUUACCAAGGCAACGAUGCGUAGCCGACCUGAGAGGGGGAUCGGCCACACGGGAGCUGAGACACGGUCCAGACUCCUACGGGAGGCAGCAGUAGGGAAUCUUCCGCAAUGGGCGAAAGCCUGACGGAGCAACGCCGCGUGAGUGAAGAAGGUCUUCGGAUCGUAAAACUCUGUUAUUAGGGAAGAACAAAUGUGUAAGUAACUAUGCACGUCUUGACGGUACCUAAUCAGAAAGCCACGGCUAACUACGUG
This 497-nucleotide ribosomal RNA is filed under the name uncultured bacterium. RNAcentral describes it as "partial 16S ribosomal RNA". It matches the Rfam family "Bacterial small subunit ribosomal RNA", at positions 28 to 507 of the family's 1533-position model. The record is from RNAcentral.